AAGUCGGACCUUUGACCGACUUUGUCAAUAACUAGUUCAGUUUUGCUUUGAAUUUCGACGAGUACACAUCGCAGUUCUCACAGUACGUGUUCUCCGCAAGUAAUAACGAAGAGUUAAUGAAAGUACACACUUAUAUUAUUCAUUCUUUUAAUAUUCUAUGCGAAUUAUUUUAUUUUAGCAUUACUUUGCGAAGUAGGGAUAUUCGGCCUCGUGAGAUGACAACAAAGUCAGACCUUUGACCGACUUUGUCAAUAACUAGUUCAGUUUUGCUUUGAAUUUCGACGAGUACACAUCGCAGUUCUCACAGUACCUAUUCUCCGCAAAUAAUAACGGAGAGUUAAUGCAAGUAUAUACUUAUAUUACUCAUUCUUAUAAUAUUCUAUGCGAAUUAUUUUAUUUUAGAAUUAAAUUGCGAAGUGGGGAUACUCUCCCACCCGUGAUGACAACAAAAUCGGAACUCUGAUCGACUUUGACAGUUACUGGUUCAGUUGUGUUUUGUACUUCGACGAGUACACAUCGUAGUUCUUACAGGAGGCAUCCGGGACAAAUAAUAAUGAAGAGUUGAUAAAAUACAUGACUAUAUCGCAUAUUCUUUCAAUAUUCUUUGCGAAUUAUUUUAGUUUAAAAUUAAAUUACGGAAUGGGGAUACUCUCCCACCCGUGACGACAACAAAAUCGGAAUUCUGAUCGACUUUGACAGUUACUGAUUCAGUCUUGCUUUUUAUUUCGACGAGUACACAUCACCGUUCUCGCGAAUGAAAUGGUGUAGCGGGGAUAUUCCCCCACUCGUGACGACAAUAUAGUUGGACCGACUUUGACAGCUACUGGUUUAGUCUUGCCUUCCAUUUCGACUAGUACACAUCGCUGUUCUCCCAGUAUGCGUUCUCCGCAAGUAAUAGAGAAGGGGUAAUAUUCAAAUUGAGAGUAGGGAUACUUGGGCUCGUGAGACGACAACAAAGUGGGACCUUUGACCGACUAUUACAGUUACUAGUUCACUUGUGUUUUGAAUUUCGACGAGUACACAUCGCAGUUCUCCCAGUACCUAUUCUUCGCAUGUAAUAACAGAGAGUUAGUGCAAGUACAUAUUUAUAUUAUUCAUUCUUAUAAUAUUCUAUGCGAAUUAUUUUAUUUUAGAAUUAAAUUGCGAAGUGGGGAUACCCUCCCACCUGUGACAACAACAAAAUCGGAUCUUCGACCGACUUUGACAGUUACUGAUUCAGUCUUGCCUUCCAUUUCGACUAGUACACAUCGCAGUUCUCGCAGUAAACAUUCUCCGCAAGUAAUAGAGAAGAGCUAAUAAUGAAAUGGAAUAGUGGGGAUAUUCUCCCACUCUUGACGACAAUAUAAGCGACCAACAGUUACUGAUUCAGUCUUGCUUCGAAUUUCGACGAGUACGCAUCGUAGUUCUCCCAGUACCUAUUCUCCGCAUGUAAUAACAGAGAAAUUAAAUUGCGAAGUGGGGAUACCCUCCCACCUGUGACAACAACAAAAUCGGAUCUUCGACCGACUUUGACAGUUACUGAUUCAGUCUUGCCUUCCAUUUCGACUAGUACACAUCGCAGUUCUCGCAGUAAGCGUUCUCCGCAAGUAAUAGAGAAGAGCUAAUAAUGGAACGGAAUAGUGGGGAUAUUCUCCCACUCUUGACGACAAUAUAAGCGGACCAACAGUUACUGAUUCAGUCUUGCUUCGAAUUUCGACGAGUACGCAUCGUAGUUCUCCCAGUACCUAUUCUCCGCAUGUAAUAACAGAGAAAUUAAAUUGCGAAGUGGGGAUACCCUCCCACCUGUGACAACAACAAAAUCGGAUCUUCGACCGACUUUGACAGUUACUGAUUCAGUCUUGCCUUCCAUUUCGACUAGUACACAUCGCAGUUCUCGCAGUAAGCGUUCUCCGCAAGUAAUAGAGAAGAGCUAAUGAUGAAAUGGAAUAGUGGGGAUAUUCUCCCACUCUUGACGACAAUAUAAGCGACCAACAGUUACUGAUUCAGUCUUGCUUCGAAUUUCGACGAGUACGCAUCGUAGUUCUCCCAGUACCUAUUCUCCGCAUGUAAUAACAGAGAAAUUAAAUUGCGAAGUGGGGAUACCCUCCCACCUGUGACAACAACAAAAUCGGAUCUUCGACCGACUUUGACAGUUACUGAUUCAGUCUUGCCUUCCAUUUCGACUAGUACACAUCGCAGUUCUCGCAGUAAGCGUUCUCCGCAAGUAAUAGAGAAGAGCUAAUAAUGGAACGGAAUAGUGGGGAUAUUCUCCCACUCUUGACGACAAUAUAAGCGGACCAACAGUUACUGAUUCAGUCUUGCUUCGAAUUUCGACGACUACGCAUCGUAGUUCUCCCAGUACUUAUUCUCCGCAUGUAAUAACAGAGAAAUUAAAUUGCGAAGUGGGGAUACCCUCCCACCUGUGACAACAACAAAAUCGGAUCUUCGACCGACUUUGACAGUUACUGAUUCAGUCUUGCCUUCCAUUUCGACUAGUACACAUCGCAGUUCUCGCAGUAAGCGUUCUCCGCAAGUAAUAGAGAAGAGCUAAUGAUGAAAUGGAAUAGUGGGGAUAUUCUCCCACUCUUGACGACAAUAUAAGCGACCAACAGUUACUGAUUCAGUCUUGCUUCGAAUUUCGACGAGUACGCAUCGUAGUUCUCCCAGUACCUAUUCUCCGCAUGUAAUAACAGAGAAAUUAAAUUGCGAAGUGGGGAUACCCUCCCACCUGUGACAACAACAAAAUCGGAUCUUCGACCGACUUUGACAGUUACUGAUUCAGUCUUGCCUUCCAUUUCGACUAGUACACAUCGCAGUUCUCGCAGUAAGCGUUCUCCGCAAGUAAUAGAGAAGAGCUAAUAAUGGAACGGAAUAGUGGGGAUAUUCUCCCACUCUUGACGACAAUAUAAGCGGACCAACAGUUACUGAUUCAGUCUUGCUUCGAAUUUCGACGACUACGCAUCGUAGUUCUCCCAGUACUUAUUCUCCGCAUGUAAUAACAGAGAAAUUAAAUUGCGAAGUGGGGAUACCCUCCCACCUGUGACAACAACAAAAUCGGAUCUUCGACCGACUUUGACAGUUACUGAUUCAGUCUUGCCUUCCAUUUCGACUAGUACACAUCGCAGUUCUCGCAGUAAGCGUUCUCCGCAAGUAAUAGAGAAGAGCUAAUGAUGAAAUGGAAUAGUGGGGAUAUUCUCCCACUCUUGACGACAAUAUAAGCGACCAACAGUUACUGAUUCAGUCUUGCUUCGAAUUUCGACGAGUACGCAUCGUAGUUCUCCCAGUACCUAUUCUCCGCAUGUAAUAACAGAGAAAUUAAAUUGCGAAGUGGGGAUACCCUCCCACCUGUGACAACAACAAAAUCGGAUCUUCGACCGACUUUGACAGUUACUGAUUCAGUCUUGCCUUCCAUUUCGACUAGUACACAUCGCAGUUCUCGCAGUAAGCGUUCUCCGCAAGUAAUAGAGAAGAGCUAAUAAUGGAACGGAAUAGUGGGGAUAUUCUCCCACUCUUGACGACAAUAUAAGCGGACCAACAGUUACUGAUUCAGUCUUGCUUCGAAUUUCGACGACUACGCAUCGUAGUUCUCCCAGUACUUAUUCUCCGCAUGUAAUAACAGAGAAAUUAAAUUGCGAAGUGGGGAUACCCUCCCACCUGUGACAACAACAAAAUCGGAUCUUCGACCGACUUUGACAGUUACUGAUUCAGUCUUGCCUUCCAUUUCGACUAGUACACAUCGCAGUUCUCGCAGUAAGCGUUCUCCGCAAGUAAUAGAGAAGAGCUAAUAAUGGAACGGAAUAGUGGGGAUAUUCUCCCACUCUUGACGACAAUAUAAGCGGACCAACAGUUACUGAUUCAGUCUUGCUUCGAAUUUCGACGAGUACGCAUCGUAGUUCUCCCAGUACCUAUUCUCCGCAUGUAAUAACAGAGAAAUUAAAUUGCGAAGUGGGGAUACCCUCCCACCUGUGACAACAACAAAAUCGGAUCUUCGACCGACUUUGACAGUUACUGAUUCAGUCUUGCCUUCCAUUUCGACUAGUACACAUCGCAGUUCUCGCAGUAAGCGUUCUCCGCAAGUAAUAGAGAAGAGCUAAUGAUGAAAUGGAAUAGUGGGGAUAUUCUCCCACUCUUGACGACAAUAUAAGCGACCAACAGUUACUGAUUCAGUCUUGCUUCAAAUUUCGACGAGUACGCAUCGCAGUUCUCCCAGUAUGUGUUCUCCGCAAGUAAUAGAGAAGGGGUAAUAUUCAAAUUGAGAGUAGGGAUACUUGGCCUCGUGAGACGACAACAAAGUUGGACCUUUGACCGACUAUUACAGUUACUAGUUCAGUUGUGUUUUGGACUUCGACGAGAGAACUUAGAAAUUUUCGCUGAAUGCCGUUUCUACAAGUUUGAACGGAGACUUAAAAACCUCGUUGCAAUGUUGUAAUCGAGUGUUUGUACCGCUAAAAUAAAAAUAUCGUGAAGUAGAAGCAGUGUUUGUUCGUUCGCGGUUCGCGAUUUAAACUCUAAGUGUUUUUGCAUAGACUGCGUGCAAUGCAGUCUUUAGAGUCAGUGUUUGUUCGCGUAGUUUUUUGAUUUUUUAACAGUCGCGCAGACUGUACUUAUAAAAGAUAGUAGAGUUUCGCGAAAUAAAUUCAGUGAUCGUUCGUUAAUAAAUAACUACCGCGAAUUAGAGUCAGUGCAUCACCGAAGAGGAUCUCAACCAACUUCGAUGUCGACCUACCUCAUUUUCAACCAACUACAAAUCAUCCACCCUCAAUUUCGACCUAAAUCGCGGUCCAGUGUUUUGGAGCCAUCGCAGAACUUCUUAAGUAGUUAGAUCAUCGAGGGAGCGAUCAUCGAGCGAGGGAUCAUCCAGGGAUCGAUCAUCAUGGAAUUAAAUUUUUACAGAGAAAUUUUUGAAUUAAAUGUC
Molecule: long non-coding RNA, 4894 nt
Organism: Vespula vulgaris
Lineage: Eukaryota; Metazoa; Arthropoda; Insecta; Hymenoptera; Vespidae
Exons: 25
Source: RefSeq, a predicted model, not a curated record